AACGAACGCUGGCGGCAUGCCUAACACAUGCAAGUCGAACGAGACCUUCGGGUCUAGUGGCGCACGGGUGCGUCACGCGUGGGAACCUGCCCUUAGGUUCGGAAUAACUCCCCGAAAGGGGUGCUAAUACCGGAUAAUGUCUUCGGACCAAAGAUUUAUCGCCUUUGGAUGUUCCCGCGUUGGAUUAGCUAGUUGGUAGGGUAAAAGCCUACCAAGGCGACGAUCCAUAGCUGGUCUGAGAGGAUGAUCAGCCACACUGGGACUGAGACACGGCCCAGACUCCUACGGGAGGCAGCAGUGGGGAAUAUAGGAAAAUGGGCGAAAGGCUGAUCCAGCAAGGCCGCGUGAGUGAUGAAGGCCUUAGGGUUGUAAAGCUCUUUUAACCGGGAUGAUAAUGACAGUACCGGGAGAAUAAGCUCCGGCUAACUCCGUG
This 433-nucleotide ribosomal RNA is filed under the name uncultured bacterium. RNAcentral describes it as "partial 16S ribosomal RNA". It matches the Rfam family "Bacterial small subunit ribosomal RNA", at positions 29 to 507 of the family's 1533-position model. The record is from RNAcentral.